CAGACCGACCAGACCGGACCUGUCGCACCCACAACGGUCAGACAGACAGGAAACAUUCAGUGCUGGAGACUAACUCAAUACAUUUACUCAGUGGUCCCGGUUCUUCUGACCUUUCUUCUUGGUGUACUGCUGUGGUGCCGUCCAGCCAUACAGGCCGUCGCCCGGCUCCUCUCCUCCCAGAACCGUGUCGUAUCUGGACAUGGAGUCUCUGUGGUAAACUUCUUCAUCGUCAUCAUCCUCCAGGGCGCCCACCC
Molecule: long non-coding RNA, 254 nt
Organism: Acanthopagrus latus (yellowfin seabream)
Lineage: Eukaryota; Metazoa; Chordata; Actinopteri; Spariformes; Sparidae
Exons: 2
Source: RefSeq, a predicted model, not a curated record